Apis florea (little honeybee) is the source of this 1449-nucleotide long non-coding RNA. RefSeq lists it as uncharacterized. NCBI's taxonomy places the organism in Eukaryota, Metazoa, Arthropoda, Insecta, Hymenoptera, Apidae. The record is from RefSeq and is a predicted model, not a curated record.
CAAUAGUCACAACUCUAAUCCGAAAGUGAAUGGUCCGUUUUAAUCAUGUGAAAGUAAUUAAUUUUGAAAAAUAUAAUUGUUGUAAGGGAUCUUCGUUUAAAACGUCGACUAAAAAGGGAAAGAGAGAGAAAAAGAGAGAGAUUGAUGAAACUGAAAAGUGUCUGGACAAAGUAUUUCCGCACGAUUCACGGUUCUUCUUUCUAGAAUCUAGGUUAGUAAAGGAUAAUUCAUCGAGCAUUGCACCGAACUUCUCUAACUAACCGAGAAACUCGAAGAAAUUAAGUGCGCUAGAUUUAAAGAAUAUAUAACCGUAUUUUACGGUGUUCGGAAUGCUUUUAAUGAAAAUCAACGGUGCAUCGAGGGAAACUGCCACACGAUAAAACGGUACUCCAUUUGUACGAGUAACACGAGCAUGUAUCGUUAAAAUUACGACGCAUUAAGGCGAGGAACGUGCCCGUGAUAAUUUAUAUGCAGUGGAACGAACGUGUCUGGGAUAGAUGUGUGACGAGCACGCGGAAUCAUUCCUCUAGGCUUCACAUGCGCCAACUGAUUAAGGGACAACGAUAAUCGGCCGCGGCAAUUAAACUCUGCCAGAUUCAAAAGAAAUCACGUCUUUGUAAAGCUUCUGUUUGCGCCUCAUUUUCUCGAUUACGGACCAAGAUACAUCACGCGACAAAAGAAUGGAUUAAAACAUCGUGAUCUCGAGUCAAGAGUAUUACUACUUUUGAAUGUGGAAUCAAUCGGUCCAACUUAAAUGAUUCUUCUUAGAAAAUAUAAUGCAAUAUUGAUUAUCUAAAUCACUGUUUUUCAAUUACUAUAGAUAACGACAUCCUAAGAAGAUCGUGAAAUAAUAGUCAUUAGAGUUAUUUUUAUUUGCAAGUAUUUAUAUAGGAUUGUAUUUAUACAGGAAAUUUUGUGAUAAUAAUUUUUAACAUUCAUCAUGUACAGGGUGUUUAUGAAAUCAAGAUAAAAAAAUCAAAAUGAAUUAGAAAAAGAAGAGAACAGAAAAGAAAUUAAAGAUUCGUUAGAAAUAAAAUAUGAUAUUCCUAUUAACACCAAAGAAGGGUGUACCAACAUAAAACGUUUUGUCUCAAAAAACACUAAAGACAUUUGAUCUAAAUAACAAAACAAUUCUACAUUAUCAGCUUUCUUUUCUCGUUUUGUCUCUUAUUAAAUAUUUGUUAUCAAAUAUGAGGCGAUAAAAAGACGAAAAUAAGCUCACUUCGAGACACCCGAUAGAACAAAAGUGUGCAACAGUAGAUGGCAUUCACGGAACAAACAAGGGGGCCCUUUAAUACAAUAUUACUGGCUACAUCUUGUGUCCGUGAACUCGUGGGGUGCGUGAGACACGCUCAUUAUACAGGAUGUCCUAUUGAAAUCGUUAACCUCGGAUACUACGCCCUUUGUUAAUUUAUAUAAUAAAAAAGAGAGGCAUCGAUGUCGAACAAA